CGAGGAAUUUUCCGCAAUGGGCGCAAGCCUGAGGGAGCAACGCCGCGUGCGGGAUGACGGCCUUCGGGUUGUAAACCGCUUUUCGUGGGGACGAUUGUGACGGUACCCGCGGAAUAAGCCCCGGCUAGCUCUGUGCCAGCAGCCGCGGUAAGACAGAGGGGGCAAGCGUUGUCCGGACUGACUGGGCGUAAAGCGCGCGCAGGCGGUCUCGGGCGUCGGUGCUGAAAGUCCACCGCUUAACGGUGGGAUGCGUGCCGAUACGCCGAGACUGGAGGGUGGGCGAGGGUGGUGGAAUUGCCGGUGUAGUGGUGAAAUGCGUAGAGAUCGGCAGGAACACCCGUGGUGAAAACGGCCACCUAGCCCGCACCUGACGCUGAGGCGCGACAGCGUGGGGAGCGAA
This 400-nucleotide ribosomal RNA is filed under the name uncultured bacterium. RNAcentral's name for it is "bacterial SSU rRNA". It matches the Rfam family "Bacterial small subunit ribosomal RNA", at positions 355 to 772 of the family's 1533-position model. The record is from RNAcentral.